Molecule: ribosomal RNA, 462 nt
Filed under: uncultured bacterium
Lineage: Bacteria
Description: partial 16S ribosomal RNA
Rfam family: Bacterial small subunit ribosomal RNA
Source: RNAcentral
AUGCACGCUGACAGAAUGCUUAACACAUGCAAGUCUUUGGCGAAGCUGUGCUCGCACAGCCUAGCCAAGGCGGACGGGUGAGUAACGCGUAAGGAACUUGCCCUGCAGUCAGGGAUAACAGACGGAAACGACUGAUAAGACCUGGUAAAGUCAGGCGGACUCAUGUCCAGCCUGAUGAAAAGAGAUGCUGCAGGAGAGCCUUGCGUCCUAUUAGCUUGUCGGUGGGGUAACGGCCCACCAAGGCGAUGAUAGGUAGCCGGCCUGAGAGGGUGGACGGCCACAAGGGGACUGAGAUACGGCCCUUACUCCUACGGGAGGCAGCAGUGGGGAAUAUUGGACAAUGGGGGCAACCCUGAUCCAGCAAUUCUGUGUGCACGAUGAAGGUUUUCGGAUUGUAAAGUGCUUUCAGAAGGGAAGAAAAAAAUGACGGUACCUGCAGAAGAAGCGACGGCUAAAUACGUG